GACGAACGCUGGCGGUGUGCCUAAUACAUGCAAGUAGGACGCAGUUGCGAACGGGUGAGUAACGCGUAGGUAACUACCUAUUAGAGGGGGAUAACUAUUGGAAACGAUAGCUAAUACCGCAUACUAGUAGAUUGACCUGCGUUGUAUUAGCUAGUAGGUUGGGUAAUGGCCUACCUAGGCAACGAUACAUAGCCGACCUGGGAGGGUGAUCGGCCAAACUGGGAAUGGGACACGGGCCAGAAUCCCACGGGAGGCAGCAGGAGGGGAUCUUCGGAAAUGGGGGGAACCCUGAACGAGCAACGCCGCGGGAGUGAAGGAGGGUUUCAGGGCGGAAAGCUCUGUUGUUAAGGAAGCGGUACUUAACCAGAAAGGGACGGCUAACUACGUGCCAGCAGCCGCGGUAAUAC
Molecule: ribosomal RNA, 407 nt
Filed under: uncultured bacterium
Lineage: Bacteria
Description: partial 16S ribosomal RNA
Rfam family: Bacterial small subunit ribosomal RNA
Source: RNAcentral